Molecule: long non-coding RNA, 581 nt
Organism: Saccostrea cuccullata (small rock oyster)
Lineage: Eukaryota; Metazoa; Mollusca; Bivalvia; Ostreida; Ostreidae
Exons: 3
Source: RefSeq, a predicted model, not a curated record
AAGUCAUAAUGAGGUCUGACGUCAUGACAGUUGCUCCGCCCUGAUUGAUCCAUAUAAGGAAAUGGUGCUCAAAAUAACUAUUUACCGAUAUUGGCAACGAUUUGUAAUAAACAAUAAUAUCUUCAUGUUUAAAUAGAAAAUAAUUAGUGAUUUUCUCGUAUAUAAAAUAGCAUGUCUUUAAAAUAAUUCUCUUUUUAAUGUGUCGUUUGUCUGCAUUCGGCUUCAGCCAAGCGCUUGCACUCGGUGACACGGAAUGUUGUUUACAUCUAAAACGUGGCGAUAUCAGCUGAAAUUUGCAGUGGAUUUAAAUGCAAUAACCACGCAAUCUUUAAAGAAAAUAGGGAUAAAAUAAGAGACAAGGCAUUGCUUCUCCAUUUUACAAGAAUAUGAGGACAUUAUUUCGAAAAAUAGCAGAAAAAUGAGACAAUUUGCACCAGCUCUAGCUCCGUAGAUCAAUCGCUGCACUGUAAUUCCAGGCCAGCUGUCCAGAGUUUCAGGCUUAAAGAGUGAAUAAAUAAAAAAUGCAUCAUUUCUCCACAGGGCCUAGCUAUUCCCAGAUGUUGGACAAAUGGAUUCAUUCA